AGUUCAGUCCGGUAGAACGCGGGUCUCCAAAACCCGAUGCCGUGGGUUCAAAUCCUACAGAGCG
Molecule: transfer RNA, 64 nt
Filed under: Taxus wallichiana
Lineage: Eukaryota; Viridiplantae; Streptophyta; Pinopsida; Cupressales; Taxaceae
Description: tRNA-Trp
Rfam family: tRNA
About the family: Transfer RNA (tRNA) molecules are approximately 80 nucleotides in length. Their secondary structure includes four short double-helical elements and three loops (D, anti-codon, and T loops).
Source: RNAcentral